CGGCGUGCUUAACACAUGCAAGUCGAACGGAGCUAUUAUAGAAAGCGGAGCUUGCUCCAAUGGACAUUUUAGCGUUAGUGGCGGACGGGUGAGUAACGCGUGGGUAACCUGCCUUGCACAGGGGGACAACAGUUGGAAACGACUGCUGAUACCGCAUAAGCCGGUAGAACCGCAUGGUUUAUCCGGAAAAGAUUUAUCGGUGCAAGAUGGGCCCGCGUUGGAUUAGUUAGUUGGCGGGGUAACGGCCCACCAAGACCGCGAUCCAUAGCCGACCUGAGAGGGUGAUCGGCCACAUUGGGACUGAGACACGGGCCCAAACUCCUACGGGAGGCAGCAGUGGGGAAUAUUGCGCAAUGGGGGAAACCCUGACGCAGCCAACGCCGCGUGAGUGAGGAAGUAUUUCGGUAUGUAAAGCUCUAUCAGCAGGGAAGAAGAUGACGGUACCUGCAGAAGAAGUCCCGGCUAACUACGUGCCAGCAGCCGC
RNAcentral lists this ribosomal RNA (484 nucleotides) under uncultured bacterium. RNAcentral's name for it is "bacterial SSU rRNA". It matches the Rfam family "Bacterial small subunit ribosomal RNA", at positions 40 to 518 of the family's 1533-position model. The record is from RNAcentral.